CACGGGGGGAGUAAGCGUUGUUCGGAAUCACUGGGCGUAAAGGGCGUGUAGGCGGUCAGGUAAGUGGGACGUGAAAUCCCUCGGCUCAACCGUGGAACUGCUUGGUAUACUGGCGAUCUUGAGCCAGCUAGGGGCUACCGGAACAAACGGUGGAGCGGUGAAAUGCGUAGAUAUCGUUUGGAACGCCAAUGGUGAAAACAGGUAGCUGGGGCUGUGCUGACGCUGAGACACGAAAGCCAGGGGAGCGAACGGG
This 253-nucleotide ribosomal RNA is filed under the name uncultured bacterium. Its description in RNAcentral is "partial 16S ribosomal RNA". It matches the Rfam family "Bacterial small subunit ribosomal RNA", at positions 524 to 776 of the family's 1533-position model. The record is from RNAcentral.